AUAUUAGUCAAUGCUCGCAAGAGUGAACUAGCUAACUGAAUUUAUAAUCAUUCGAAGGGAUUUGAAAAAGGAUAUAAUAAUGUAAGGGGAGAAAAAAUGAUGCGCCCCAUUACUAGUAGUGCUGUCCAAAGCUGGUGCCAGAAGACUCGGUAAGGCCAGAAGCGCAAACGUUAGUCACACUAAACAGGCGUAAAGGGUGUGUAGGCAGCUUUUUAAAACUACUCUUUUUAAGUAUAACUACUGUGUAAACAGAUUAAAAAGGAGAGCAACUAAAAGCUAGAAUCAUAUCGAGGUUAAACAGAAUAAUACUUAGUGUAGGGAUUAAAUCCGCAAAUAUUAAGGGGAAUACUAUAAGGUGUAAGCUUUUUUCCACUAUUGAUUGACGCUGAGACACGAAGGUGAGAAAAGGGAAUAGGAUUAGAUACCCAAAAUACCUCUUACUGUCAACGAUGAAUGUUACCUUGUUAGUUUUUUAUAUAAAAUUAGCAUUGAUGUUAACGCGAUAAACAUUCCGCCUUGCGAGUACGGUUGCAAAACUGAAACCAAAAAAAUUAGUCGGCCUUGAAGCAAACGAAGUGAAGCAUGUUAUUUAAUUC
RNAcentral lists this ribosomal RNA (596 nucleotides) under Mycena corynephora. Its description in RNAcentral is "partial small subunit ribosomal RNA". It matches the Rfam family "Bacterial small subunit ribosomal RNA", at positions 361 to 952 of the family's 1533-position model. Lineage: Eukaryota; Fungi; Basidiomycota; Agaricomycetes; Agaricales; Mycenaceae. The record is from RNAcentral.